CCCGCUGAACUUAAGCAUAUCAAUAAGCGGAGGAAAAGAAACUAACAAGGAUUCCCCUAGUAACUGCGAGUGAAGCGGGAAAAGCUCAAAUUUAAAAUCUGGCAGUCUCUGGCUGUCCGAGUUGUAAUCUGGAGAAGCGUUUUCCGCGUUGGACCGUGUACAAGUCUCUUGGAAUAGAGCAUCAUAGAGGGUGAGAAUCCCGUCUUUGACACGGACUACCAACGCUCUGUGAUGCGCUCUCAACGAGUCGCGUUGUUUGGGAAUGCAGCGCUAAAUGGGUGGUAAAUUCCAUCUAAAGCUAAAUAUUGGCGAGAGACCGAUAGCGAACAAGUACCGUGAGGGAAAGAUGAAAAGCACUUUGGAAAGAGAGUUAAACAGUAUGUGAAAUUGUUGAAAGGGAAACGCUUGAAGUCAGUCGCGUCAUAUAGACUCAGCCUUGCUUUUGUGAGGUGUAUUUCUUAUGUGACGGGCCAGCAUCGAUUUUGACUGUUGGAAAAAGUUCAGAGGAAUGUGGCACCUCCGGGUGUGUUAUAGCCCCUGUUCGCAUACAGCGGUUGGGAUCGAGGUUCGCAGCACGCCUUUUGGCCGGGGUUCGCCCACGUACGUGCUUAGGAUGCUGGCGUAAUGGCUUUAAACGACCCGUCUUGAAACACGG
Molecule: ribosomal RNA, 655 nt
Filed under: uncultured fungus
Lineage: Eukaryota; Fungi
Description: eukaryotic LSU rRNA
Rfam family: Eukaryotic large subunit ribosomal RNA
Source: RNAcentral